This 82-nucleotide transfer RNA is filed under the name Candidatus Woesearchaeota archaeon. RNAcentral describes it as "tRNA-Ser". It matches the Rfam family "tRNA". Rfam says of the family: Transfer RNA (tRNA) molecules are approximately 80 nucleotides in length. Their secondary structure includes four short double-helical elements and three loops (D, anti-codon, and T loops). Further hydrogen bonds mediate the characteristic L-shaped molecular structure. tRNAs have two regions of fundamental functional importance: the anti-codon, which is responsible for specific mRNA codon recognition, and the 3' end, to which the tRNAs corresponding amino acid is attached (by aminoacyl-tRNA synthetases). tRNAs cope with the degeneracy of the genetic code in two manners: having more than one tRNA (with a specific anti-codon) for a particular amino acid; and 'wobble' base-pairing, i.e. permitting non-standard base-pairing at the 3rd anti-codon position. Lineage: Archaea; Nanobdellati; Candidatus Woesearchaeota. The record is from RNAcentral.
GCCAGCGUCGCAUAACUCGGUAGUGCGUCAGUCUCGAAAACUGAUCCCUCUGGGAUUCCCGGUUCAAAUCCGGGCGCUGGCG